GCGGGAGGGCAAUGUGGUGUUUAGGAAUAGCGCGACCGAAGGUUGAUCUAAGCGCAAGUCCUCCUGACUGGGGCUCUCGCCCAUAGAGGGUGCAAGGCCCAUAGUCGCUUAUGAUCUCCGGCGGAAGCAAAAUUCCUUGGAGUCGGGUUGCUUGAGAGUGCAGCCCUAAGUGGGUGGUAAACUCCAUCUAAGGCUAAAUACGACCACGAAACCGAUAGCGAACAAGUACCGUGAGGGAAAGUUGAAAAGAACUUUGAAGAGAGAGUUCAAGAGUGCGUGAAACCGUUUAGAGGUAAACGGGUGGGCCCUCGAAGGUGAUCGUCGGAGGGAUUCAGUCGGACGUGACCGUAAGCGUCGUUCGUCUCUAACGGUGCGGACCUCGGUCGGCCGGGCGGGCGAAGGCUGCGGGCCGUUUGGCGCAUUUCCUUCCGUUCGAACUACGCUGCGACCAGUCUGGUCACUGAAAGUUGUCGUCCUUGAAAACGGGCAACGGAAGGUGGCCGGCGGCGUCUCUCGGGAUGCCGUCGGUGUUUAUAGCCGGUUCGUUUCACGAGUGAGCGUUCAUCAGACUGGGGACGAUUCUAGCCCUGUGCGGGCUACGCCGAGCACUCCGUUUUGUGGAGCGUUGCGGGGUGACUGGAUGCGCCUGCGGUCGGUGGUUUCACCUUUGUACCCGUCUUGAAACACGGACCAAGGAGUCUAACAUGUGCGCGAGUCAUUGGGUCUUGAAUAGGCCCAAAGGCGUAAUGAAAGUGAAGGGCGGUUCGGCCGUCUGCCUUGGGAUCCCGCGGACCUCGCGUUCGCGGGCGCACCAAGGGCCCGUCCCGGUCGCCUCGUCGACGGGGCGGAGCAAGAGCGUACACGUUGGGACCCGAAAGAUGGUGAACUAUGCCUGGGCAGGACGAAGCCAGAGGAAACUCUGGUGGAGGUCCGCAGCGAUUCUGACGUGCAAAUCGAUCGUCAGCCGAAAGGGAAUCGGGUUAAUAUUCCCGAACCCGGACGCGGAGAUCGUCCUCUUCGGAGGUACAUUGCGGUAACGCAAACGAGCUCGGAGACGUCGACGGGAGCACCGGGAAGAGUUAUCUUUUCUUUGUAAGGAUUCGACUCCCUGGAAUCGGCUCGCCCGGAGAUAGGGAUGGUGUUUCCGUAAAGCACCGCGCCUCUUGCGGUGUCCGGAUCGCUCCCGUCGGCCCUUGAAAAUCCGAGUGAGAGAUAGUGAUUUUCGUGCCGGACCGUA
RNAcentral lists this ribosomal RNA (1237 nucleotides) under Forsteropsalis marplesi. RNAcentral's name for it is "eukaryotic LSU rRNA". It matches the Rfam family "Eukaryotic large subunit ribosomal RNA", at positions 132 to 1846 of the family's 3401-position model. The record is from RNAcentral. Lineage: Eukaryota; Metazoa; Arthropoda; Arachnida; Opiliones; Neopilionidae.